Long non-coding RNA from Biomphalaria glabrata, 1491 nucleotides. RefSeq lists it as uncharacterized. NCBI's taxonomy places the organism in Eukaryota, Metazoa, Mollusca, Gastropoda, Planorbidae. The record is from RefSeq and is a predicted model, not a curated record. The transcript has 4 exons.
ACUUGAGACCUAUUAAAUCUAGAUCUAGACGACUUAGACUUAACUUAAGUGAUUAACAUUCAUGCGUUAUGACUAGAUUUACUGAUUUACUAUUUAGAAUAGAUUCUAGAUCUAGAUUCUAGAAUCUACCAUGAAAUGGCUAAUGCAUCUGCAGCAUAGAAUUAGAUUUAGUUAAGGACUUACUAGAUCUUAAAUCUAAAUCUACUACCUUUUAACUUUUAGGGCAGAAUAUUAGAUCUAGUCUAUAUGCCUAUCUAGUCACGUAACUGUAAACUAAUACUUAGACUUAGGACUUUGGACACUUUGAGUUGAAGAUAUCUACUUGGUAGUCUAAACCUCAAAGGAGCUUAGGGAAGUGAUGGCAGUUGCAGGGUAUGAACCAGACGACCAUGCAGAGACCAACGAGGCGACCAAACAGUCCAUCGUGCAUACCACAUAACCAGGUCCAGAAUGCCAGUUUUCUUUAAGGGCAGCUGACAAUAAGAAUUGUCUAUGUAUGCACUACAGAUGCUGUUCAAUAUCUUUUCAUGAGGAAGCCUGCUCAAAAAGAUCGCCACAUUUUCUUUAGGGGAAGUUGACAUUAAUCUUUUAGGUUAAUAAUAACCUAUGCAUGCAGUACAGAUGCUGUUCAUCAUCUUUUCAUAAGCAAGCCUGCUCAAGAAGGUAAGAAUUAAAUUUUGCUUUUAGAUUACUGAUCAGCAAUCUGAAAGUAAAUUGUUAAUGGGAUGGAAUUUAUUAAAUGUAAAUAAAGAAAUGCUAUCCUAAUUUUGAAAUAUGCUGGUUGUGGGUUUUUUUUAAGUUUCACUGUGAUAAUUGUUUAUUUUAAUUCUAGAAUAACUUUUCAGCCAACUUAUUUUUAAAAUUACCAUAAAACUCUAAUUACAACAGAAUAUAGUUGUAUUAGUAAGAGCCUGUGAUAAAGUUAAUAUAAAUAAAUUGGACAAAAUAUAAUAUUGAAUGAACUGAAGCCUAGCUCGAUCUAGUCUGCCAUUGCACUUUUAGCAUAGUCAAAUACCAGUGCCACAUUUGCUGACACCAAUUCAUAACAUUUAAUUUAAGGAGAAGAUUGAACUCCAAAUUUUGAAAUACCAUUAAUUUUUGCGUUGCUUAAUAGGCUUUAGAAGCAACCUAAUUUUUGAGCACCGUUUAUCAUCAAGGGCUGGAAAUAUAACCGUUAAAUAGUAUGUCCACAUAGAUAAAUGUAAUAGAUAAAUGUAAGGUCUUCUGAUGUUUAAUUGUUAGAUUCUUUUUAUUAUUAAUACAGCUUGAAGGUAGUUGUAUUACAUGACUAUAAUAUUUAUUUGUUUGUUUGUUUGUUCCAGCUGCUUCAUGGAAGUCAAAAUAUGAAUUAUUGCCAUCCAGUCUUGAAGUCAGCUUGUAAAGAAUGCUAAGAAUUGAAUGAAAAUGCUGUCUUGAUAUCUUGUUUGUGCUGUUAUAUUUGUCUUUUGUGUUGGUUAAUUAUUCCAUGAAUAAAAAAUAAAAAAAAGUUAA